NNNNNNNNNNNNNNNNNNNNNNNNNNNNNNNNNNNNNNNNNNGGGGGGGGGACACAUGGGGUGGUGUCACCAUGGGAUGGGCCAUGGGGACACGGGGAGGUGCCACCAGGAGGGGACGUGGGGACGCGGGGAGGUGGCAUCAUGGGAGGGGACGUGGGGACCCCCCGGUGGUGCCCCCACAGGAGGGGACACGGGGACAUGGGAUGGAUGUCCAUGGGGACAUGGGGUCAAGGGGACUUGGGGACAAGGGGACUUGGGGUCAAGGGGACUUGGGGUCAAGGGGACUUGGGGUCAAGGGGACUUGGGGACAGAGGGACAGGGGUCAAUGGGAUGUGGGGACACAGGGACUUGGGGACAUGGGGACUUGGGGAUGGAUGUCCAUGGGGACAAGGGGUCAAGGAGACUUGGGGACACGGGGACUUGGGGUGUGGGGACGCGGGGACAAGGGGACGUGGGGACUUGGGGUCAUGAGGCUGUGGGGACGCAGGGACUUAGGGACACGGGGUCGCGGGGUCGCGGGGACCCUGGGGACAGGGGGACGCGUGGGCCACGCACCCAGCGUGCCGGGGGGGCAGGAGCAGAGGUAGCCCCCCGGCAGGUCGAGGCAGGUCCCCCCGUGCUGGCACGGCCGCGACUGGCACUCGGCCACCUCCAGCUCGCAGUCCUGGCCCGCAUAGCCCGGGGGGCACUGCGGGGACAGCGCCCGUGGGUGCCAUCCCCAGCGCCCGCGGGUGCCCCCGUGGCGGCCGGCACCUCCCCCCAUCCCCCCACCCCAUUCAACAAGGGCAGCACCCAUGGGUGUGUCCAGUCCCCCCAGUGACCCCUCCCAGUGCCCCCAGCCCUCCCAAACUGGGAGGCCCCCCAGUGUCCCCGGUAACCUCCCAGUCCCCCCAGUAAGCCCUCCCAGUCCCCUCAGUAACCUCCCAGUCCCCCCAGUAACCCCUCCCAGCGCCCCCAGCCCCCCAAACUGGGAGGCCCCCCAGUGUCCCCAGUUUGGCGCCGUGUCCCCAGAGGGCACCCAGAGGAGGGAGGGGGCACCCAUGGGACCCCCCCCCCCUAAAAUCUCCCAUGGGUGCCGUGGGAGC
RNAcentral lists this long non-coding RNA (1085 nucleotides) under Anser cygnoides (Swan goose). Its description in RNAcentral is "lncRNA (ENSACDG00005015191.1)". Lineage: Eukaryota; Metazoa; Chordata; Aves; Anseriformes; Anatidae. The record is from RNAcentral.